Prunus persica (peach) is the source of this 1570-nucleotide RNA transcript. It is a transcript of the gene named vinorine synthase-like, with no coding region annotated. The record is from RefSeq and is a predicted model, not a curated record. The transcript has a single exon. Lineage: Eukaryota; Viridiplantae; Streptophyta; Magnoliopsida; Rosales; Rosaceae.
ACUGCAUUUCCUACAGAGAAAGUGAAAAUGAAGAUGAAGAUUGAGAUAGUCUCUAAAGAUAACUGCAAACCAUCAAUUCCAACCCCACACCACCUUAAGAGCUACAGACUCUGCUAGAUCAGAUAUCUCCUAUAUUUUAUGUGCCCGUCGUUCUUUUCUAUUCAGCUCCUGAAGACAUUGAUGAUGAUAUGACAAUUUUUUAUAAGCUGAAGAAAUCUUUAUCAGAAACCUUGACCUGUUUCUACCCUUUGGCUGGAAGGAUUGAGGGCAAUACAUCUGUGGAUUGUGAAGAUGGGGAUGUUGUCUUCACAAGAGCUAGAGCUAACAUUCAGCUCUCUGAGAUACUAAAAAGUCCAGAUAUGAAUUUAGCGCAACAACUUCUUCCACUUGAUCCCCACAAUAUUAGAACAGACAAGGCGGUUGCAGCCAUGGCUGUCCAGUUAAACUUCUUUGACUGUGGUGGUAUGGGUAUCGGAAUCUGCAUUUCACACAAGAUUGCAGACGUUGCAACACUGUCUUCUUUCCUGGUUGUGUGGGCUACAAGAUCACGUGGUGUUGUUGAAAACAUCACUCCCUCCCUAAAUUCAGCCACCAUCUUUCCACCUAGGGACAAGCAAAUUUUCAUGCCAUCCAAUUUGAUUAAGAGAGAAAAGAUUGUGACAAAGAGAUUUGAGUUUGAUGCUUCCAGUUUAGCCAGGAUGAAAGUCAAAGCAUCCAAGGGUUUGGGCAUGGACGACCGUGCUCCCACUCGUGUGGAAGCCAUGACAGCCCUCAUAUGCAAGUCUAGCAUGAAUACAAAAAAUGGUACAUCUGGUAAGGGUAGGCCAUCAAUGGCGAUAUGCCAUGUGGUGAAUUUAAGGGAAAGAACGGUUCCACCUUUGCCAGAGCAUUCUUUUGGUAAUAUCUGGCGGUUUGCUGUUGCAUCCAUAAUGAAAGAUGAAAGAAAUAUAGAGCUGCAUGAAUUUGUGGUUCAAUUAAGAAAAGUAAUAAGGAAGAUCAAUGAUGAUUAUGUGAGGAAACUUCAAGGUGAGGAUGGGUUUUCACAUGCUUGCAAGCCUCUAAAAGAAACAAGUGAGUUGGUCUCUCAAGGAGAAGUUGAGUUUUACAGGUUCAGCAGUUGGGUUAGGUUUCCAUUUUAUAACACUGAUUUUGGAUGGGGAAAACCCAGCUGGGCAUGCAUUAGCAAUGUGCCCAUUAAAAAUGUUGUCAUAUUGAUGAGUAGUAGCUCUAGCGACGGUAUAGAGGCAUGGGUGACCUUGGAAGAAGAAGAUAUGGCUAAAUUAGAAUGUGACCAUGAGCUUCUGGAGUUUUGUCUCCUUGCAAAAGGCUCUUAGGACUACAUAACUAGUUUCUUUAGUAGAAGAUAUGGCUAAAUUUGAAUCUGAUCAUGAGCUUCUGGAAUAUUGUUUCCUGGCAUCAAGCUCUUAGGAUUACGUACCUAGUUUCUUUAGUAGUCUAGUCCUAUGGUUCAAGUAGUUUCUCCACUGUCUUUGGCACAUGCAUGCCUUGGAGACCCUGCUCUCUUUCCUAGUACUUAUUAUAACUUUAGUGGAAUUGCUUCAUUCAUUUU